Molecule: long non-coding RNA, 234 nt
Organism: Archocentrus centrarchus (flier cichlid)
Lineage: Eukaryota; Metazoa; Chordata; Actinopteri; Cichliformes; Cichlidae
Exons: 3
Source: RefSeq, a predicted model, not a curated record
GGUGCCACCCCUGCAGAUGAGUCCUCACCUCAAAUUAUUUACACCACUGUCACCAAAAACGAGACACGACAGACUCAACAAGAUGAAUCUGGAUCAUCAAGCUUUACACCGGCUCUCAGUCCCCCUGCUGCCGAAGAGCUGAGCUCUCCAGAGGAGGUUAUUUAUUCACCUGUCCAGAUGGUGCAGUGCAGUGACGCCUAACUUCAUAAUCCAUGCUGGAUACCUGAGAGAGGU